This 245-nucleotide ribosomal RNA is filed under the name uncultured bacterium. RNAcentral's name for it is "partial 16S ribosomal RNA". It matches the Rfam family "Bacterial small subunit ribosomal RNA", at positions 524 to 767 of the family's 1533-position model. The record is from RNAcentral.
UACGGAGGGUGCAAGCGUUAUCCGGAAUCACUGGGUUUAAAGGGUGCGUAGGCGGUCUGAUAAGUCAGUCGUGAAAUUCCCCGGCUUAACCGGCGGGACUGCGAUUGAUACUGUUAGACUUGAAUCAGGUUGAGGUAGGCGGAAUGUGGCAUGUAGCGGUGAAAUGCUUAGAUAUGCCAUAGAACACCAAUUGCGAAGGCAGCUUGUUGGACCUGUAUUGACGCUGAGGCACGAAAGCGUGGGGA